CAGAUCAAAGUCAUGUUUUUGAUGAGGAGGAUUUCUGUGUCUUCUAUUGUCAUGAAGGACAGCUGUCAGUCUGUGGUACACGUUCGGUGGAGGAACCAGACUGGAAUUUGGAAGUGAUGUCCGUC
This is a long non-coding RNA of Stegastes partitus (bicolor damselfish), 125 nucleotides long. RefSeq lists it as uncharacterized. The transcript has 3 exons. Lineage: Eukaryota; Metazoa; Chordata; Actinopteri; Pomacentridae. The record is from RefSeq and is a predicted model, not a curated record.